ACUCCUACGGGAGGCAGCAGUAGGGAAUUUUCCGCAAUGGACGAAAGUCUGACGGAGCAAUGCCGCGUGAGUGAUGAAGGUUUUCGAAUCGUAAAGCUCUGUUGUAAGGGAAGAAUAGCAGUAGUAGGAAUGACUACUGUGUGACGGUACCUUACCAGAAAGCCACGGCUAACUACGUGCCAGCAGCCGCGGUAAUACGAAGGGGGCUAGCGUUGUUCGGAAUCACUGGGCGUAAAGCGCACGUAGGCGGACUGGUCAGUUGGGGGUGAAAUCCCGGGGCUCAACCUCGGAACUGCCUCCAAUACUGCCAGUCUUGAGUCCGAGAGAGGUGAGUGGAAUUCCUAGUGUAGAGGUGAAAUUCGUAGAUAUUAGGAAGAACACCAGUGGCGAAGG
This 393-nucleotide ribosomal RNA is filed under the name uncultured bacterium. Its description in RNAcentral is "bacterial SSU rRNA". It matches the Rfam family "Bacterial small subunit ribosomal RNA", at positions 335 to 721 of the family's 1533-position model. The record is from RNAcentral.